Molecule: long non-coding RNA, 218 nt
Filed under: Brassica napus (rape)
Lineage: Eukaryota; Viridiplantae; Streptophyta; Magnoliopsida; Brassicales; Brassicaceae
Description: long non-coding RNA (BNAP_LNC010959)
Source: RNAcentral
AAAAAUCAAUAGAAAGUAAUAACAAUGAAUAAUUCUAACUAUGUCAGAUCAAAUUGUCCUAUUUUUGCCUUGUUUAUGAUUUGACAAGUUUUUUAUGUGACAAAUACGAUAGUCAAAUCACAAAUCAAGCUUAAGUCAAAUCACAAAUCAAACUUAAGUUAAAAAGAAAAACUGCAUCUAAUAAAAAAAAAAAAAAACCUCUCUCAGUCACAUCUUUC